This 2037-nucleotide long non-coding RNA is filed under the name Nicotiana tabacum (common tobacco). RNAcentral's name for it is "long non-coding RNA (NTAB_LNC006513)". Lineage: Eukaryota; Viridiplantae; Streptophyta; Magnoliopsida; Solanales; Solanaceae. The record is from RNAcentral.
CGAAUGAUGCGCUUGGUAUAGUCUUCGGUCCCGAGCAUCCUGACCGGCAUGGGUGUAGUUCCAACUAUGGUAUUCAAGCAAACAUCAAAACGAGGUGGUUCUGAUAUGGGAUCAUCUAGCGCUAGUGCUCCACCUCCAUAAUGGGUACAAAAGAUGGAAAAUAUGAGAUCACAAUUAAAUGGAGUUAAUUUUAUCCAUGGUCACUGAACUUGUGUGUUUGUUACCCAAAAGUCACUUUUCUUUUUUUGUUACGUAAAAAUCAUUCAACUUUGUGUUCAUUACACAAUGUCACACCUCAUUUUUUACCUACACCCCUGAAAGGGUAGUAUAAGGGAGUUUUUUUCAACUUAAAGUGACAAUCGAAACGGGAUUAAUUUAUUAAAAACUCAGAAUCGCCACUUAGGAUAAUUUAUGGUGUCCUAAGUCACCGGUUCAAAUCCCGAGUUGAGUAAAGAUUGACUCUAUUAUUUACUUCCCGAGUUCCGUGGUUCUAGCACGGUCGCUCAACUGUUAUAAUUGGCUUAUUUACUUGAUUUUAGUACAUGUUUUAGCGUAUGGUGCAAUUUUAACUAAUUAACCGCUUUUGAUCAUUUUUAAGGAAGAUUGCAACGUCAUUUAAAAUACGUCUUGAACCACGUCACAUAAAUGCACCCGCGGUCCCCGACGCAUUUUAUAUAACAUUAUUGAGAUUCGGAUUUGGGUCAUAUAAAUGCACACCUGAGUCCCUUUAAUCUAAUUGACAUAGUUCAGUAAUCCAAUUUCUAUACUGUGACAAAAUCACAUUCAACUAUAACCAAUUCGAGUGAACACGAAUAUAUAACCGAGCAAGCAAAUUCAAAACCACAGAGAAUAAUUACAGAAACAACGGGGUCGCAUCAACAAAUAAUUAAUAAGAGCUUGCAUAAAACGAGUAGAGGAUGAAAGAGUUGAACCUCAAUAUAGCCAGAAAAUUGAUUAUUUCACUACUUUGAACUCGAGAUGUAACACGAAUCGUAGACGGGAACCCAAAUCGGCACCAAAAAUCUAAAACUGGCAAUGAACUCGAAUCAACCUCGGCUAAAAUCCGUUCCCAUACUCGAAUAACAAAAAAUCAGAACCAAAUGACGAAGCAGAAACAUCUUCGUCGACAGAUUCAACCUUCAAACGGAACUCCGAAUCAAAUAUUUCAAACCAACUCCAUCGUCGAAAUCACAUUUAACAGAAGAAACCAAAUGUGUUUUUUUGUAUUUUUUGAUUUUAAAAUCUCAUAGUACUAAUUGUUAUAUUUAAACUAGGAACUAAAUAAGAAACAGAAAGUUCAGAAUCCAAAAAAAAAAAAAACGUUUUCCUUCUUCUUCAAAUUUAAAAAUGAUUUGCUACUGUUCUCCAAAUUUCCCCUUAAUCAUGAUAUCUCUACAAGGUUUAGAAGGUUUUUAAGUUGCUUUAGCAUCCAGUGAUCAACGUUCUGCAACCUGACUUUGACCGGGGAAAUGGACAACAACAAGAAACAUAAACGGAACCAAUAUACGGUAACAAGAAAACGGGAUGACGACAUCGACCACUCCUCGAAUCUGGAUGAUUAGAUUACUUUGAAUAUUCGAACAACCAAAGAUAUACAAGGCUUCAAAUCCAACAUCCAGUUGAGAAAAUACCAACAAUUCAAACCCGGAAUCGCGGAACUCGACUCGAAACCACUCCGGACAGCGGCGAUUUCAAUAACCCCCGCUUGACUCCAUAGUUUAAGCUUGUCUCAUUCUCCUCACUGUUUUUGGAGCUCCUCCUCUGUUUUUCGGUUGUGUGUGUGUGAGUGGUGAAGGCUGUGUGUAUGUUAAAAUUGAAGAAGAAAGCCUUCAGGGGUCAUGUGUGUUCAGCGGCUUCAGAGGUCUAGGUCGUUGAGUAUUUGGUCAGUGGAAAAGAGGUGGAUAAGAAGCAGAACGGAUGGGAGGGGGUGGGGUAGUUCGAAGGAGAUGAACUUGAGGGGGUGGGUCCUGUCAAAAGCUACGCAGCCCUCAGCUUUUUCUUUUCAGCUUUUCCUUCCGUCCUUUAGUCUCAGGCUUU